CCCCCCACCGCGCCACAGAAGGACACACGUCACCAUCUCUGCAUGACCUUCGUAUCUUACAUCCUACUUUUAAGCAUGCUCAGGCUAGCAGCAGCCAGGCAGCGUCGGCAGAAACUUCCGAAAGAACUUCCUGAACUCCGUGUUAAAGACGGUGUAGAUGAUUGGGUUGAUGGCGCUGUUGACAUAACCCAACCAGGUCACGAUACUGGUGACGCUGCCAGGAAUUUCGCAGUCUUCGCAGAGAGCCCUCAUAGUGUGCACUACGAAGAAUGGUGUCCAGCAGAACAGGAAGGCACCUGGAGACGAAAGAAUAUCAGCUGACAUGGGCUGAAAGGGAUUGACGUGUGGUUAGCAAAGUACAAGCACGUCUGUGACACGUCUCACAAGAAGCCGUGAAGAGGAUCAGAGCUCGUCUUAACGUGACGCUGCCCUCGACUCAACUGAGGCUUACGUCAUAAUCCGAUUGGAGGAUUGGUGAGCGAUGAUUAGCCAAUGAGGGCCAAAGGAGUUCCUCGUUUCAGCACACGUAGGAACUGUUUGUAAUCACUCCUCUAAGCCCAGGUUAGGAGCGAGAGGCUUUUUUCACUUUGUUUUUUCACUCAGAAAACCUCCAGACAGACAUGAACAGAAAGCAGAGGUGUUUUUAUGGAUAAAUCAA
RNAcentral lists this long non-coding RNA (658 nucleotides) under Danio rerio (zebrafish). RNAcentral describes it as "si:ch73-365i12.4 (ENSDARG00000097121.2)". The record is from RNAcentral. Lineage: Eukaryota; Metazoa; Chordata; Actinopteri; Cypriniformes; Danionidae.